CUUUUUAUUUGUUAAAUGCUUAGUUUUUUCAAACCAUUUUAAUUUGUAUGCUGUAUUUUACUAAGUAAAAAUUUAGACGUUUUGGGUUUUUUUUGACACUUUAUACUUUAGAUACUGAAUGGAAAAAAAUUUAUAAAGUGUCUUUGAAAAAAUCAGCCAAGCAGACUAACGCUGGUUAUUUUAUUAUACAGUGAAGAGAAAUUGACAUUUUUUUUCUGUUCGCAGGUAUCAUGAAGAGUAAAGGCAAAAUAGAGACAGUUAUUGACAAAAUAAGUAAGCAAACAUGCUUUGCGGUAGAGAGAGCCUCUGAAAAUGGAGAUGGCCACGAUAGUUCCUCUACUCGAACUGAAACCACAUCGACUAUACAGCCUACUGAACUUCAACAAAAUGAACCCAAAAACAGAGAAGUCGAGAUAGAAGGGAAAGCGGACGGUUCUACUAAUAAACAUUUUACAGGAGACAAUCAAGGUUCGAAAGAUUUAAGUGCUAUAGCAACAAAUACAGAUAUCCACCAUCAACUGUCAACAACAAAAAGGAGACAUCAAGGCAGUGCUGAAGCUGACAAUAUAGCCAGGAUUUCUGUUAACGAUGGCAACCCUAAUAAGCUGUUUGACAAUAAAGAGGAAGUUGAUCAAGAUGAGAUGAAUAAAUACCAACCAAAUCAUUCAAGGAAAAAGCGACGUCAAGCUAAUAAAAAAGACAGCGACAUCGGGCCGAGUACUUUCUCCUCAAUUAAGACACAUGACGAAGAUUGCAGUUCUGACACAACCAACACAGACAGUGAAGUUGACGCUGAAACUGAUUCUAAAGUUUCAUACGAGGACUUGAGUGGUUCGGGUGAAGACUCGGGUGAAGACUCGGGUGAAGACUCGGGUGAAGACUCGGGUGAAGACUCGGGUGAAGGCUCGGGAGAAGACUCGGACGAAGACUUGGACAAAGAGUUGGACAAGGACUCGAACAAGGACUCGGACAAAGAUUCGGACAAAGACUCGGACAAAGACUCGGACAAAGACUCGGGUGACACUUCAGGUGAAGACACAAGUGAAGAUUCAGGUGAAGAUUCAGGUGAAGAUUCAGGUGAAGAUUCAGGUGAAGAUUCAGGUGAAGACUCGGUUCAGGACUCAGGUGGCGAUAUGGGCAAUGAUACAAACGAUAAUACAAGUAACGAUACGAGCGACGACUCUGAUGAUGACAAUACGAAUGAUAAUAUCAGCGACACCACUAUUGAUGAAGACGCCGUCGAUGAUUCAACUGAUGAUACAAAAGUGAGUACAACAGAAGAAUGUGGAGCAGAGUCGAACUCUAUCAGAAUAAGUUGUAAUGCUACAACUAGUGGCAUUGGAAAUACUUUUGUUAGUGCGACUUCAGAAACUCCUACGAGUCCUGAGGUUCCUGUAAAUCCUGUGAUUCUUACAAGAAAUAUGGUGCCUACAAUUAAUGCGAUUUCUAUGAGUUCUGUGGUUCCUGUGAGUUAUAUAGUUCCUACAAGUACUGUGGUUCCUACGAGUAAUUUGGGUCCUGUGAGUGCUAUAUUUCCAACAAGUCCUAUGAUACCUGUGAUUGCUACAGUUCCUACGAGCAAUGCGAAUCCAGUGAGUUCUAUAGUUCCUACAAGUCCUACAGUUCAUUCAGUCCCUGUUGUUGCUAUGAAUCCUACGAGUAAUGUGCUUCCUGUGAGUUCUGCAGUUCCUAUAAGUUACGUGGUUGCCACAGUUCCUACGAGCGAUAUGAGUCCAAUGAAUUCUAUAGCUCCUACAAGUCCUACGGCGGCUGCAGUUCCUGUUGUUACUAUGAUUCCUACGAGUAAUGUGCUUCCUGUGAGUUCUGCAAUUCGAACAAGUCCUGUGGUUACCACAGUUACUAUGAGUAAUGUGAGUCCUGUGGUUGCUACGAAUCCCGUGAAUCCUAGAAAUUCUUCCACUUUUUUCAAUUCUUCCACUUCCUCCGAGUCUACGAACCCUUCGAAUUUUGAUCUACCAAAUGAAAAUACCAGUGAAAAUGAGGAUGCUUCAGGAAAUGUGGUAGAAUUUUUUGAGUUUCAUCCUAUUUUCUGGAUUCACGGGAUGACCACUUUGACAACUCGAGUUCUAACUGCUCCUAGAGAUUGCAAUGAGGAAGAGCAACGAAAGAGAGCUUGUGAGAAAAUGCACGAGUGCCCACAUUUCGUACCUAUUAAGCCCGUGGCUGUAGAGCCCAAAGAUCUCCCUAAGAAUAGUGAGAAUAGUGAGAAUAAUGAGAAUAGUGAGAAUAGCGAGAAUAGCGAGAAUAAUGAGAAUAGUGAGAAUAUUGAGAAUAGUGCUAAAAUUUCCUCUAGCACACCAGAAAGAACUAAUGAUUCAGAAGAAGCUAGAGGUAGGGGUAGGGGUAGGGGUAGGGGUAGGGGUAGGGCUAGAGGUAGAGGUAGAGGUAGAGGUAGAGGUAGAGGUAAAAGAGCGAGAGCCGCAACUCGAACUCCAUCUCCAGUUUUGGUUCGAGAUACAUCUUCGGGUUUGGUUCCGGACUUGUCUCCAGUUGUUGCUCCGUCGAUAGCUAUGGCAUCCGAUUUGGCUUCAGCUUUGACUACGGCUUCGGCUAUGGCCACGGUUAUGUCUUCGUCUGCAGCUACGGCUUUGGCUUCGGCUACAGCUACGGCUACGGCUACAGCUACGGCUACAGCUACAGCUACAGCAAUGGCUGUGAACUCUGCUUCGGGUUCAGUUACAACUAAAUCUUCGACCAUGACUAGAUCUAUUUCUUCGUUUGGAAAAAAUUCUCAGAUUGAAAAUGCUAACGAGGCGACCUAUGCUGUUAAUACUGAAAAUUCUUCGAAAACUUUUCCAGAGACAACAAAUAUCAUUAAUAGACGAUCGCAAACUAUUUCUGAAUAUCCUUCAAAGGUUAUGAAAAUUUCGCAUUCCCAAAACCCGGAAAGCUUAUCUCUACCGAAUCAUAGUGUUUCCACUACGAUUAUGUCAUUAAUAAAUUACCCUGAUGCGACCGUCGCAACUCAAGAGCAACCUAACAGAAAUGGAAAUAAUAUAUACAUAAAACAAGAAGUCCAAAGCCCCUAUUGUUACCCUGGUAAAGUAUCGACAGUCUCUAUUCAACAAAAUGAAGCUGACCGAGAUAUCUUAGGUCUAUCACAAGUUCAAGAAUUUAAACUACCAGAUAAGAAAAUUUGUUAUACUUCAGGGAGCAAGCAAACACCUUAUUUCAGCUCUUUCGUCCAAUUCCCAAAAGUAGGGGUGGAUAAUCAGAUACGAGAAAACGCGGAAGCGUUAAUGGCUACCAGAAAUAAAUUAGAAACUACUCCAGAUAUAAUCUCGAACGAAACUAAUGGAACAAUACAUAUGCAUUUUCAGUUAAAUAAACCUCCGGAUGCUGUGUCUUGUUCUUAUUUUAGUUCUAGUUCUUGUUCUAGUUCUAACUCUUGUCCUAGACCUAGUUCUAUUGAAUACCAGAACUUGUUCGACACUGAAUGUAACAAACAACUACCUUGGAAAAAAAAUCAUCGAUUCAAGCACAUAGCAUCCGUACCUUAUAACAAGACAGCAUCAGCAUCAAAAAGAGUAUAUGCACAAACUGACAUGAGUGGAUCGCAAUCAUCAUCAGUAAAUUAUAAAUACAACGAACCUUUUUCUUUUGGAGGAGUCCUGUCGCGGCCAAUUUCUAUUGAAGGUCAACAUAUUCAGCAAAGCACUUCCCAGAUUCCACCACUGGCUCAUAAUAAUGCUACCCCAAUAAUUUCAUCUAUAGGCAGAGUUCCUCGAAGAGCCCACAGCAAUGAACCUAGUCAUUACUUUUCAGCACAUAUCCCAACCGAGUUUCAGUGUGUCAGUUCCGCAGAAAAUGAUAGAGUAUCAGACCCUUCACAGCUACCCGAGAAUCUCAAAGUAUACGGAGAAUCAAAUUUCAUUUGA
This 3899-nucleotide unclassified non-coding RNA is filed under the name Dimorphilus gyrociliatus. RNAcentral describes it as "dgyrCDS13569". Lineage: Eukaryota; Metazoa; Annelida; Polychaeta; Dinophilidae. The record is from RNAcentral.